Molecule: long non-coding RNA, 1193 nt
Filed under: Monodelphis domestica (gray short-tailed opossum)
Lineage: Eukaryota; Metazoa; Chordata; Mammalia; Didelphimorphia; Didelphidae
Description: lncRNA (ENSMODG00000049405.1)
Source: RNAcentral
GCUUCCUGUGGGCCCAGGCUGGAGUGGGGGCUCCGCUGGGGAGGAUCCCGGAGGCCCGGCGGGGGAUGAAAGGCCGCCACGCUUAGAGAAAGUUUAAACCCCAAAAGACAUAGAUAAAGAAUGGAAAAGCGUGUGUGAGCGAGCGAGUGGAAAAACAGCUUCCCCAGCGUCCGCAGGGGAGGGGAAGAAGGGGGGAGGGAGGGCGCUGGGGCGGGGGAGUGGGGAGGAGGAGGCGUCCCGCCGGCUGGCCCUCCCGGGUCGGCUGUGCAGCUCCACCCUCCCGGCCCAGCAAGCCUGAACCCCACCGGGCUUAACUCCAGCCUCGCGCUUCCAGAGCCGGCUUGUCAGCGCUCCAUGGCUCAGACUUUCUGGCUUUGGGACAGGGAAGAGGAGCGGAGGGCAGGAGCCCGGCCCCCAUGCCGAGCUCCGGGGACUCCGGGCAGAGGGCUCCGAUGUCGGUAAGGCAGGAAGACCCCGCUGACGGGCUCGCGCUCCAGAUGUGGGAGGGCGGAGAAGGCGGGGAGUAGAGCCUGAGCCAUCUGGGUCUUCGGGAAGAUUUGGGCCCCGGCAGUUGUAUUCAGGUGCUUACAGAUGCAAAUAACCAGCAAUAAUUAAGCGCCUUCGAUUUGCAAAGCACUGAUCCAGAAGCUGAAGAAAUAAAGAUGGAACUAAUAUGGUCCCGACCUCAAGGAGCUUCCCUUCUACUGGGGAGAUAUAGCAGGAAUAAUAAAGUGGAGGAAUUCCAUGGAGACUGGAACAACCUCCAGGAAGUGAUGCAGAGUGAGAGGAGCAGAACCAGGAGAACACUGUACACUGUAAGAAAAUCGAAUGUAACGGACUUCUCUUCUAGUAGCAAUGCAAUGAUCCAGAACUAUUUGGAGGGACAUAUGAGAAAGAACACUAUCCACAUCCAGAGGAAGAACUGUGGGAGUAGAAACCCCAAAGAAAAACAAUUGCUUGAUCACAUGGUUCGAUGGGGACAUGAUUGGGGACAUAGACUCUAAAUGAUCAUCCUAGUGCAAAUAUCAAUAAUAUGGAAAUAGGUCUGGAUCAAGGACACAUGUAAAACCUAGCAGAAUUGCCCAUCAGCUACAGGAGGAGGUGGAGGGAGGGGAGGGAAAGAACACGAGUCUUGUAACCAUGGAAAAAUAUUCUAAAUCAUCUAAUUAAAUAAAAUUUUCUUUAAAAAGUCA